RNAcentral lists this long non-coding RNA (7757 nucleotides) under Lactuca sativa (garden lettuce). RNAcentral's name for it is "long non-coding RNA (LSAT_LNC004087)". The record is from RNAcentral. Lineage: Eukaryota; Viridiplantae; Streptophyta; Magnoliopsida; Asterales; Asteraceae.
GAUGGGUUUUGAUCAUUCUAACACUUCCUAAGUGUACAUGCAACCCUAAUAACCUUGGAUCUAUGUUUGUCUAAUUAUCAUGCAAAGUUGAAUUCCAAGGUUAUAUUCCUAUCUAGCAUACAUGGGGAACAAUUUUAACUUGAAUCAUAGAUAGAAUAACUUACCUUGUUGUUGCUUGUGUUCCUUGAAACCUUGUGAGCCUAGCACCCCAAGUGUGAUGCCUCAAAUGCUUCACACAACACCAAAUGCUCUUGGAAAGACUCUUGAGAUAACACACACUUCUCAAAAUCGGCCAAGCCCUCUUGUUUCCUUAGUAGUGCCGAUUUUGGUGGAGAAUAUGCUUCUUAUAUAGUGUUGACACAUCUAGGGUUACACCAUGUAAACCCUAAUGUGUCAUGACUCUUCAUUUCCAUGACCCAUGGGUUUGUAACUCCCAUGGAGCAUCCAUGGAGCAUCCUAUGGGUAGAACCCAACUUGAUAAUCCAUGGAGCCUCUUAGCCCACUAUACAAGAUAUGGAUGAUUUACAUAAUCAACCCAUAUAUUUAAUUAGUUAUCCUUUGAUCACUUAAUUAAUUCCAAAUUAAUUCUUUGAUCAACUAAUCAAAUAAUAUUAUUAAUAUAUUAGAACUUAUAAUAUAUUAAUAAUCUCCAAGUGUUAUUUCUCUCAUUUAGUCUAUCCAAUUGCAUGGUGCCAUGCAACCCAAAUGGACCAUGCCGGGUCGGGUCAAGUACAAGCCCGAAAUAGUUAUGGACUUAGACACCUUAUCCAACAGUCUCCCACUUGGAUAAGUCUAAUAACUAUAUCUCUAGUACUUCAGGAACCGACCGGCAAUCGUAGCUCUUUCAAGGUCUCUCGGAACUGAGAAGAUGAUGGUACGCCAUUUAAGAUAAGUGAUCAUAUAAUCCUCCGUUCUAGAUAUCAGCCGGACAAAUACAUGGAACAUUGUCUUGCUUAUUGUCCAGCAUUUGUUUCCCGAUUUCCGAUUUGUUUGACAUAGAACUUAAUUGAACACAUCAACUUAGUUCUGACCGGGCCCGGUACAUGGGUCAAAACAAAAUCAUCGAGGGGCCCAGAUAUCAGCUUCUAAUCCAAGAAGGAACAGAUAAACUUCGACUCAUAUGUUUGUUCUACCACUCAUUGAAUUACACACAAAAGUACGUUUUAUAACAUCGAGUUACCAAUGCGGUUUCGUACAGUCAAUGCAUAACCAACUUGUAAGUAACAAAUCAUAUCUCUAGGUUUGAAGACUUAUAUGAUAUUACCGUCUCACGAUCACUCGAGAUAGAAUUCCAUGAAGUGAUUCCAGUGAGCGUGGGUUGAGUCCAAUGCUCAGAACUUAUGAGCACUCAUGAUUGUUGUAGCCUUGUCCAACACCUUAGACCUCUACAACCCAUCAUGACAGUCUUGAUUCAUACCUACUUCCGACAUAUGACCGACUGUGGAGGUUUGAAUAAUAUGUUACACCAAACAAAAUUAUUCUGGAAGUCAAAACAUGCAAAAGAAAUAUAGUAAACGAUUGACAAGAGAUAGCAACACUUUACUCAUAAAUAAAACACCUUUUAUUCAUCAUCAAAUGUCAAUUACACUUUACAAAUUUCUGGGUUAUCUAACUACUAAAACUUAUAUCAUCCUUCAGCCCUAUGCUCCGAGCAUGCUGGAGAUGCUUAACCCUACUCAGUCCCUUCGUGAGGGGAUCUGCUGGGUUCUCAUCCGAUGAUACCCUCUUUGCCACGAGGAGUCCUUCUUCGAUCCGAUGUCUAAUGAAAUGGUAUUUUCUGUCGAUGUGUCUGGAUCUCCCAUGAUCCCUUGGUUCCUUGGCUAAGGCAACAGCACUUUCACUAUCACAGAAAAUUUCCAUUGGCUCUUUAAUAGCUGGUACAACUCCAAGGUCUCCAAUGAAGUUCUUCAGCCAUAUCGCCUCCUUUGCUGCUUCGCUAGCUGCAAUAUACUCUGAUUCACAAGUAGAAUCUGCCACUGUCUCUUGCUUGGAACUCUUCCAAGAAAUUGCUCCUCCGUUUAGGGUAAAGACCCAGCCCGACUGAGAGCGGAAAUUAUCCCUAUCAGUCUGGAAGCUAGCAUCACUAUACCCUACAACUCUCAAGUCAUCACUCCCACCGAGGGUAAGGACCCAGUCCUUAGUCCUCCGUAGGUACUUGAGGAUAUUCUUUACCGCAGUCCAGUGUGCCUUGCCAGGGUUCGCCUGAUACCUGCUAACCAUGCUCAAGGCAAAAGCUACAUCGGGUCGAGUACACGUCAUAGCAUACAUGAUCGAUCCUACAGCCGAAGCGUAAGGUGUUCGACUCAUUUCUGCUAUCUCAGCCUCAGUGCUAGGGCUUUGUGUCUUACUCAAUCUGGUGUUACUCUGGAUGGGUAACUCUCCUUUCUUGGAAUCCUGCAUGCUGAAUCUCUUCAGCACCUUAUCCAAGUAGGUACUCUGACUAAGUCCAAUUAGUCUUUUACUCCGAUCUCUCAAGAUUCUUAUCCCUAGAAUAUAGGCAGCUUCACCAAGGUCCUUCAUAGCGAAACACUUCCCAAGCCAGGACUUUACUUCCUGCAGGGUUGGAAUGUCGUUUCCUAUGAGUAGUAUGUCAUCCACAUACAAUACCAAAAAGCUAACUAUACUCCCACUAGCCUUGACAUACACACAAGAUUCAUCUUCACUCCUAGAAAAGCCAAAUUCCUUGACCUUUUCAUCAAAGCAAAGAUUCCAUCUGCGAGGUGCUUGCUUCAAUCCAUAAAUGGAUUUCUCAAGCUUACACACUCUAUUAGGGUACUCGUUGCUGACAAAACCCUCUGGCUGACUCAUGUAAACAUCUUCAGCCAACUUUCCAUUAAGGAAAGCGGUUUUGACAUCCAUCUGCCAUAUUUCAUAGUCAUGAAAUGCAGCUAUGGCUAACAGAACCCGAAUAGACUUAAUCUUGGCUACCGGAGAAAAGGUCUCAUCAUAAUCCACUCCAGGAAUUUGAGAGAAGCCCUUUGCAACCAGUCUAGCCUUAUAAGUGUGUACUUUACCAUCCAUGUCGGUCUUCUUCUUGAAGACCCAUUUGCACCCUACUGUCUUACGACCUGGUACAUUUUCAACCAAGUUCCAAACUUGAUUGUCAUACAUGGAUUGUAUCUCGCUAUCCAUAGCCUCUUUCCAUUUAGCAGACUCGGGGCCUGCCAUGGCUUCCUCGUAGCUGUUAGGGUCAUCUUGACUUACUAGUGUCUCAUCACUAAUAAGUGUCUCACCUUCUGCAGUAAUAUGGAAUCCAUAGUAAUGCUCAGGUGCACUCCUAACUCUCGUGGAACGUCUCAGAGGUACAGAUUUGUCAAUUGGCUCAACAGGAGUUUCCUCCUCAAGUUGAGGGCUAGAGUUUGAAGUUCCUUCACCGCUUGAUUCUUGAAUUUCUUCAAGAUCAAUUUGCCUCCCACUGUCUCCUUGGCUUAUAAACUCUCUUUCUCGAAAGACUCCUCUUCUUGCUACAAAGACCACAUUGUCACUAGGUCUGUAGAAGAGGUAACCAAAGGAUCGCUGUGGGUAACCGAUGAAAAUACACCUCUCGCUUCGAGGUUCGAGCUUAUCAUGAGUCUCGCGUCUCACGAAAGCCUCGCAACCCCAAAUCUUGAUGUGGUCUAGUUUAGGUACUUUACCAGUCCACAUCUCGUGAGGAGUUUUGGCAACUUUCUUUGUAGGGACUAGAUUAAGAAUAUGGGCGGCAGUCUCUAAGGCAUACCCCCAGAAUGAGAUUGGUAGCGUAGCUCGACUCAUCAUGGAACGAACCAUAUCUAACAAGGUUCGAUUACGCCUCUCAGCCACACCAUUCAACUGUGGUGUCCUGGGAGGUGUCAAUUGUGAGACUAUCCCACAUUCCCUUAGAUAGUCGAGGAACUCUGAACUAAGAUACUCACCACCACGAUCGGAUCGAAGCAUCUUAAUGUUCCUGCCCAAUUGAUUCUCGACUUCCUGUUUAAAUUCCUUAAACCUCUCGAAAGUCUCUGACUUAUGCUUGAUCAAGUAGACAUAUCCAUAUCUACUAUAAUCAUCAGUAAAAGUCAAAUAAUAACGAUUAGCAUCCCUUGUGGCAUGUUUGAAUGGUCCACACACAUCCGUGUGUAUAAGGUCCAACAAACCUUCACCCCUCUCACACGAACCUGUGAAGGGUGACUUUGUCAUUUUUCCAAGUAAGCAUGAUUCGCAACUAUCAUCUGACUUUAGGUCAAACGACUCCAAGACUCCAUCCUUUUGGAGUUGGCCUAUGCGUUUCUUGCUUAUAUGUCCAAGACGACAAUGCCAUAAAGAUGCUUUAUCCAAGUUAUUAUUAGUAGAAUCAAUACACAAAACAUUAUUUCCCAAGUUAUCUACAACAGAUACAGCUUCAUACACACCAUCACAAGGUAAUGCUUUAAAAUAAAAGACAUUAUUAUAGAAAACAUCUAUAGAACCAACUUCAUUAUUAAAUGAAAAGGUAAACCCUUGUUUGUACAAAGCAUGAAAGGAAAUAAUAUUUCUUGCCAUUCCUGGCGAAUAACAACACUUAUUCAAAUCUAAACUAAACCCACUACUUAGCGAUAAAGUAUAAACUCCAAUCUUGGUAACAGGUAUAGCUUUCCUAUUCCCCAUGAUCAAGUUUAUCCUUCCUUGCUCCACAUCCUCACUUCUUCUUAGUCCCUGCAAGUCACAACAAAUGUGAAUACCACACCCGGUAUCAAGGACCCAAGAAUUAGAAUGGGGUGAGUUAUUAGAAAUGAUAGUGUAAAUACCUGCAUGGUUGGGUUUAACUUUCCCAUCCUUCACAUCUUGCUGGUAUUUUGGGCAGUUCCGCUUCCAAUGAGCUUUUUCAUGGCAAUAGAAGCAUUCAGCCUCUUUUGGGUCAGAAGAAGGAGUAAUGAAACCUUUCUUGGUUCCACUUGAAGAAGAGCCAUCAAGGGUCCGAACCUUGGUACCCUUAGAAGAGCUCUUUCUCUUCCUCCCUCGACUUUUCCCGAUUGCCAAAACCGGAGUAGAGUUUUGAGUAGGAGUGAUAGCAACCGACUUCCCCUUAAGACCUGAUUCUGCGGUCUUGAGAAGUCCCUGAAGUUUGCUGAGGGUGACUUCUUCCUUGUUCAUGUGAUAUGUCAUGCGGAAUUGAUCAUAGCACGAUGGUAAGGAAUGCAAAAUAAUAUCUAUUGCAAGAUCCUCCGGGAAGUUCACAUUAAGCUUCAGCAAACGAUCCACAUACCUUUGCAUUUUCUGCAUGUGGCUCGUGACGGAUUCCCCGUCCUUCAUCAUGGUUGUUAUCAUGGAGCAGAUGAUUUCAUACCUCUCUUGUCUUGCACUUUGAUGGUAUCUUUCCAUCAAAUCUUGGUGCAUUUCAUAAGGGUAGAAAUCCUCAUAAGACUUUUGGAGUUCCGCUGUCAUCGUGGCCAUCAUGAUGCAAGCCACUUUCGUAGCAUCCCUUUCAUGUGCCCGAAAUUCAGCGAUCUCCUGAGGAGUUGCAGUGGACUCAUCAAUCUCCUUAAGCUCCUUGUCAAGGACAUAUUCUUUGUCCUCGUAGCGGGUAAUCAUCCUGAUGUUUCUGAUCCACUCAUUGAAGUUGGAUCCAUCAAAGGUGACUUUCCCACACAAGUUCAUAAGGGUAAAGGAGCCAUUAGGAUUAGAGCCAGAAGCAUUGUUGAAAGACAUCUGAAGGAAAGAGGACAAGAUUAGUUUAGAUAUAAGAGAGUCCUUAAUAAAACACCCAAAUGUAAUAUUAAGGCUAGGAUCCAAUCACAAUAUAAUAUAACUUAGAAGAGGUAUGCCGUAAUCUAAGCUAUAUCAUAUUUGAAAGGUAGGUGAAUGACGAUUCACCAAUUUCCACCACGAAAACCGCAAUAUUUUAGUAUUAGGUUUUUGAAUGGUUCUUAGAAAUUCCUAGAUUCUUUGAGAUUCAAUGAACUUUUCAAAGGCAUGUUUCAAUCUCGAGUGUGCCCUCCAAGUUUUGUGACUGGGAUACCGAGGAUCACAAAACGAGGUGUGAAGUAACCAUGCAAAUCACUUGGUACCCUUAAAGUUUAUCACUCAAUCGAUGUGCCGGUUAACCACACACGCUCCAUCGAUACUAUAAUAAACCCUAAGUCACCCUUUACCUACCUUGUUAAGUCCAAGUUAGUGUGCCGGUUAACCACACACGCUCCACCAACGACUUAAUCAAAGUGUAAAGUGUAAUUUCAUGGAAUAGCACCUUAUUCACAUUUUUCCUAAAGUAACUAAGAUUGGGAAUUUAAUAAAACAUUUAGUUACUUUAUAAUAUUCAUCAUACUUUGAAUGAGAAUUAAUAAGUCCUUGUCUUACCCGUUCGGCUAACGACCCUCCACCGAUCAAGCAAGCGGUGGGUGAGAGUGGACACCCAUUAAGUCACCAUUUUAUAGGCAACAACCUUAUACCCACCUUAUAGACCGGCUUCGUGAAUGAGGCGUACUAGCGGUAAGACGACUUUGUUCUUAUACAUAUAUAUAUAAUUAUUAAAUCAUAAUAAUAUAAGUAUAAGGGUUGAAUUUUAACUUUUAAAAUUCUAGGGGUUGGAACUAAAGUUUUAACUUAACUUUACUUGUUCCAAAACUUGAGGGCAAGUUUUGUAAACUUUCAAAACUUUUCAUUUCUUGUAACUUAUGAGUUUAAUAGAGUAAUAAAAUGAGGACUUUUCAUUUUUCCUAACUCUUGUGUUCUUUUAAUGUUUUUUAAUCCAAGAGACUUUUGGUUUUCCAUAACUUGAGGACAAGUUAUGGACUCCAUUAAAACACAUUAUGAUCAUGAAUUAAUCUACCACAUAGGUUACAAAUAAUUCCUAUGAUCAUCUAAACAUCAUAAGAACAAGAAUAUGAAUAUGAACACUUUCAAGAAUCAAAAUCACAUUUAAUCUUUGUAAUUUUGAUAACUAGUUGUUGUAAAUGAGUUAGAAAAGACAUUACACCUUCUAAAAUAAGUUUUCAAGUACCAAAACAUUUUAGGGUAAUGAUUCUAAUCCAUUUCCAGCAACACAAGUCGAAAUUCUGCACUCUGUCGACCCUACUCGCCGAGUGCAUAAACCUACUCGCCGAGUAGGUUGAAGAUACACAUGAACUCGUCGAGUCCUCCCCAUGGACUCGCCGAGUCCAUCAGUCAGACAGCAAGAUUUUCGACUUUCUUCAACUUUUAAGCACAAAUAACAAACAAACAAGCCUAGGCUCUGAUACCACUGAUGGGUUUUGAGCAUUCUAACACUUCCUAAGUGUACAUGCAACCCUAAUAACCUUGGAUCUAUGUUUGUCUAAUUAUCAUGCAAAGUUGAAUUCCAAGGUUAUAUUCCUAUCUAGCAUACAUGGGGAACAAUUUUAACUUGAAUCAUAGAUAGAAUAACUUACCUUGUUGUUGCUUGUGUUCCUUGAAACCUUGUGAGCCUAGCACCCCAAGUGUGAUGCCUCAAAUGCUUCACACAACACCAAAUGCUCUUGGAAAGACUCUUGAGAUAACACACACUUCUCAAAAUCGGCCAAGCCCUCUUGUUUCCUUAGUAGUGCCGAUUUUGGUGGAGAAUAUGCUUCUUAUAUAGUGUUGACACAUCUAGGGUUACACCAUGUAAACCCUAAUGUGUCAUGACUCUUCAUUUCCAUGACCCAUGGGUUUGUAACUCCCAUGGAGCAUCCAUGGAGCAUCCUAUGGGUAGAACCCAACUUGAUAAUCCAUGGAGCCUCUUAGCCCACUAUACAAGAUAUGGAUGAUUUACACAAUCAACCCAUAUAUUUAAUUAGUUAUCCUUUGAUCACUUAAUUAAUUCC